GGCAGUAGCUCAGUGGUAGAGCAGUACCCAGCACGCACCAGGUCCUGGGUUCCAUCCCCAGCACUGCCA
This 69-nucleotide transfer RNA is filed under the name Marmota monax (woodchuck). It matches the Rfam family "tRNA". Rfam says of the family: Transfer RNA (tRNA) molecules are approximately 80 nucleotides in length. Their secondary structure includes four short double-helical elements and three loops (D, anti-codon, and T loops). Lineage: Eukaryota; Metazoa; Chordata; Mammalia; Rodentia; Sciuridae. The record is from Rfam by way of RNAcentral.